CCUACGGGUGGCAGCAGUGGGGAAUAUUGGGCAAUGGGCGCAAGCCUGACCCAGCAACGCCGCGUGAAGGAAGAAGGCUUUCUGGUUGUAAACUUCUUUUCUUAGGGACGAAGAACGUGACGGUACCUCAGGAAUAAGCCACGGCUACCUACGUGCCCGCAGCCGCGGUAAUACGUAGGUGGCAAGCGUUAUCCGGAUUUAUUGGGUGUAAAGGGCGUGUAGGCGGGAAAGCAAGUCCGAUGUGAAAACUCAGGGCUCAACCCUGAGCCUGCAUUUGAAACUGUUGUUCUUGAGUGCUGGAGAGGCAAGCGGAAUGCGGGGUGUAGCGGUGAAAUGCGUAGAUAUACGGAGGAACACCAGUGGCGAAGGCGGAUUGCUGGACAGUAACUGACGCUGAGGCGCGAAAGCGUGGGGAGCAAACAGGAUUAGAUACCCCAGUAGUC
This 443-nucleotide ribosomal RNA is filed under the name uncultured bacterium. Its description in RNAcentral is "partial 16S ribosomal RNA". It matches the Rfam family "Bacterial small subunit ribosomal RNA", at positions 338 to 795 of the family's 1533-position model. The record is from RNAcentral.